AUUUAUAUAGUUUAUUUAAAAACCUCUUAAUUUCAAUAAGAAGAUGAGAGACCUCUCUCUAUAAAUA
This 67-nucleotide transfer RNA is filed under the name Camarochiloides weiweii. RNAcentral's name for it is "tRNA-Glu". The record is from RNAcentral. Lineage: Eukaryota; Metazoa; Arthropoda; Insecta; Hemiptera; Pachynomidae.